Schistosoma margrebowiei is the source of this 45-nucleotide non-coding RNA. The record is from Rfam. NCBI's taxonomy places the organism in Eukaryota, Metazoa, Platyhelminthes, Trematoda, Strigeidida, Schistosomatidae.
AUCCAGUUGACGAGUAUCAAGUUGGACGAAACGCGCUUCCUGGAU